AUACGUAGGUGGCAAGCUUUGUCCGGAAUUAUUGGGCGUAAAGCGCAUGUAGGCGGUUUGGUAAGGCGGUCGUGAAAAUGCGGGGCUUAACGCCGUAUGGCGAUUGAAACUGCUGAACUUGAGGGCCGGAGAGGAAAGGGGAACUCCCAGUGUAGCGGUGAAAUGCGUAGAUAUUGGGAAGAAAACCGGUGGCGAAGGCGCCUUUCUGGACUGUGUCUGACGCUCAGAUGCGAAAGCCAGGGUAGCGAACGGGAUUAGAUACCCCGGUAGUCCUGGCCGUAAACGAUGGGUACUAGGUGUGGGAGGUAUCGACUCCUUCCGUGCCGGAGUUAACGCAAUAAGUACCCCGCCUGGGGGGUACGGCCGCAAGGCUUAAACUCAAAGGAAUUGACGGGG
RNAcentral lists this ribosomal RNA (396 nucleotides) under uncultured bacterium. Its description in RNAcentral is "partial 16S ribosomal RNA". It matches the Rfam family "Bacterial small subunit ribosomal RNA", at positions 523 to 918 of the family's 1533-position model. The record is from RNAcentral.